ACGAACGCUGGCGGCGUGCCUAAUACAUGCAAGUAGAACGCUGAAGGCGGAGCUUGCUUCUCCGGAUGAGUUGCGAACGGGUGAGUAACGCGUAGGUAACCUGCCUGGUAGCGGGGGAUAACUAUUGGAAACGAUAGCUAAUACCGCAUAAGAGUAGAUGUCGCAUGACAUUUGCUUAAAAGGUGCAACUGCACCCCUACCAGAUGGACCUGCGUUGUAUUAGCUAGUUGGUGAGGUAACGGCUCACCAAGGCAACGAUACAUAGCCGACCUGAGAGGGUGAUCGGCCACACUGGGACUGAGACACGGCCCAGACUCCUACGGGAGGCAGCAGUAGGGAAUCUUCGGCAAUGGACGGAAGUCUGACCGAGCAACGCCGCGUGAGUGAAGAAGGUUUUCGGAUCGUAAAGCUCUGUUGUAAGAGAAGAACGAGUGUGAGAGUGGAAAGUUCACACUGUGACGGUAUCUUACCAGAAAGGGACGGCUAACUACGUG
Molecule: ribosomal RNA, 494 nt
Filed under: uncultured bacterium
Lineage: Bacteria
Description: partial 16S ribosomal RNA
Rfam family: Bacterial small subunit ribosomal RNA
Source: RNAcentral